This 1390-nucleotide long non-coding RNA is filed under the name Marmota monax (woodchuck). The record is from RNAcentral. Lineage: Eukaryota; Metazoa; Chordata; Mammalia; Rodentia; Sciuridae.
GGGGGCAAUCUGCUCGUCCCUAGGCAGAUAGGGCGAGAGGAAAAAUGGCCAUUUUGAAAAGAUUGAUACAGUAUGUUUCUGUCUUGUUUUGUCUUGAAAUGUUGUAUUGUCUUUGUGAUGAAAAUAUGGAAGGGGUGAGAAGUAAAUUACUAAGGGAAGGAGGCACCCCAGUGGAACCAAGAAUAGUUAGGGCAUGUGUUGAUGGAAGCCCAGGAACUCUAGUCAGAAAGAAAAAGAAAGUUCAGAAGAAGAAGGAUUAUCAGGAAAAAAGUUGCAGCAAAAGGCUAUUACUAAAUACUUUUCGUUACCGGAGGGUACGUGAAGCGGAGAGGCGGCUGCCGAGUGUGCAAGCCGGUCACAGCGCAGCAAGGAUUUUCCAAGAGGCGGCGACUGGCCCUUCCCCACCUCCUGGCCGGGGAGCUGGCUCUUCCACUGCCGUGAGCCCAAAUCUAGACCUGACCUGGAGGCACAGUCUCGCAGGCUCUUGCUCCCUGUGCCCAGUAGCAGUUUGAGUGCGGGACACUCCCCAGGGCCAUCUGGGGCUGCCCAGGCACUACAGCCAGCAGAAGACGCUACUGGUGUCCCUGAUGUUUGGUCAUUUUCAAUGCCAAUAACUAAGCUACAAUGGUUCUCCCACACCUGGAAGCUGAUGAGUAAUAAGCACUAUUAAUGCUAUUUCAAAUGCAAAAAAACCUUGAGAUAAUGUACUAAAUUGUUCAGAAGGUUGUUUUCUUAGUAGAAUGCUACAGGAUUUUCUUUAGCCAUCCGGAGUUCCUGCCUUCAUCCCAGUGCUGGUGAAAACAAAUGUAGAAGAAUUUCCAGUGUUGCUGAAAACCGGACGAGAAACAGAUGAGAUUUCGGAUCAAGCUAGUUGCCUGAAGAACUUACCUGGACUGUGAUUGAAGCUAGCUGCCUGCAGAACUUACCUUGACUGUGAUUUACCGGGACUGUGCGUUAAUCUAUUGAGACACUGCUUUACCUGGACUGAGACAACAAACUGUAAUCUACAACAAAUUGUAACUCGGUAUCUUUACAAAUGGUGUCAUUGCUGGUAUAAUUUUUCCAAGGGCUUCUUGCAUGGAGCCAUCAAAUGGCUUGGUAUUGUGGCAUUUUGUAUCCUCCCUUUCUGUUUGUAGCAGGUUAUUUAUGGUGUUUCUGUAAAAACCACUAUGGUCGUUAUUUAAAUUAAACAAAAGGGGGAAAUGUUAGAGUCUGUAAACAAGUCAAAAUAACACCUGGCAUUUUGCCAGGGGAAUGUUAGAGUUGGUAAACAAGUCUGGAUGGUGCCUGGCAAAAUGCCAGAGGGAGUGGUUUGAGAAGUAACAAAAGCGAGCCAUUAAGUGUGGAGAUUCCUGAUUGGUUGACUGAUGUAUCUAGUUUAUGCUAAUUA